CCCAGAUUCGAAAUUUUUCGAUUCGCCAAAAAUAGGGUACCUGGUCUUAACACGAAAAAUUUUUAUUGAAUGUUAAGAGGUGUGCGCCUUUAAAGAGUACUGUAAUUUAAAAUUCUCGUUGCUGCAGAAUUUUCAUUAAUUUUUUAUAGU
Caenorhabditis elegans is the source of this 150-nucleotide non-coding RNA. NCBI's taxonomy places the organism in Eukaryota, Metazoa, Nematoda, Chromadorea, Rhabditida, Rhabditidae. The record is from Ensembl.